This 24-nucleotide non-coding RNA is filed under the name Arabidopsis thaliana (thale cress). The record is from RNAcentral. RNAcentral also lists the same sequence under 1 other name. Lineage: Eukaryota; Viridiplantae; Streptophyta; Magnoliopsida; Brassicales; Brassicaceae.
AUAACUGAUUUAAUGAGCCAUUCG